CUUGUAGCCUCUAGAACUCUGAGGAGUGGACUGCCUGCAAAUGGGUGCCACAACAAAGACCAUGAGAAGACCACACCUCAAAAUGGGGAGAAGUGGAGACAUCAGCAGCACUGUUGGCUCAAAGCCGGGAGCUGCACUUGCAGCUCUGCCCUUGACCCUAUGACCAGGGACUGACUUGGGCCCCCACAUCCAGCCUGCAGACAGGCUCUUACCUGGCCAUGGGCAGUGGUACCCAGCAGGGCAGGGGAGGCACUCCGCCUGACUAUGGCCUCCAUCUGUUGCCAGGUUCAGCAGCCUGAACGGGGGCUUGGCUCUGGCUCUCCAGUCCUCAUCCAUGAUGCCCCAGAACUCAACCUUCCAUCUGAGAGCUGAACUCGCUCCUCCAAUGUUCUCUGAAUAAUGGAAGUGUCAGAGCAGAGGGAUUCAAGGGUCCUGGCCAAGGAUCAGCUGCCCUAUCUGCCUUCACAUGUUCCUGAGGACCCAGAGACUCCAGGCUGCCCCCUGACCACUGGAGAUGGCUGCAAAGGGGGCGUCCUCUGGAAGAUGGUCAGCAGCCUCUAGAGGAAGCAGACAUCCUGGACGCUGACCUCCAGGGCCUAAUGCUCUGCCCCCUCUCCUGACCUGCACCUCGAGGGGGAUGUGUAGAGGGUCUGCUCUGGGAGUCUUGGCUGUGGCCCCCACCUACCCAAGAAAGCCAAUGCCCACGAUCAGCUCAGCUUCUGGGUGGCCCAUGGGGCACCAUUCGGUGUCCACUGACUGCAACCCCCUCCCCCCAACACCCGUCCUCUCUGUCCACCUCCCGGCAAACCUGUGGUGGAUUCAGCAGGUCUGAGUGAGACAGAGGUGGGCUGGGAGGCCGCAGGUGUGACCGUAAAUGGGCAGGGCAGCCAGACCACAGCACGCCUCAGCCAUCUGACUCCAGCCCCUCUUACAUACGUCCCCUCCAUCCUCAAACCACCCACAGCCCAUCGGUGCCAAACCAUGAGAGCCCCCACCUCAGGGCGUUGGGUGGUACAGGGCUCACCCGCUCCCAGGGGGCUCCACACCUGUCGGGGUUGGGGAGGAGGCUCCUGCCAGACAGAAGUAGCCGGGGGAGCAGGGGCCAGAGGGCGCAGCCAGGCCAGAGGCACCACAGAAAUGGCCAGGGGGACAGGACAGGCCCUCAGAGACCAUGGAGAGAAACAUUCUGGGGAGACAGAAAGAAACCCAGGAGAUGAGCCAGGGAGGGGAGCAGGCGGGAGGAAGGGGCUGUGGGACCAGGCCUCUCUGAAAGUGUGGACCCAGGCGCACCCUGGCAGGGACCACCUUUCCGCGAUUUCCUUUUCAUCUCUCCUCUCUCAGGCUCCCUGUGACUCCUGCCUACACUGGCUCCAGGUAGCAUUUCCGGCAGGUGCCUGAGGGAAAGUGUGGCAGGGCUCUUCUCUCUGUCUCUCUUUCCCCUCUGAGAUAUGCACCUGGUUAUAAUUCUUCUCUGUCUUAAUCCCAAUUCAAGCUCAGGCCGUCCAGGGCCACAGACCUCUGUGAUCUGGCAGCUACAAUCAGAACAUCUAACAGUGCCCCACACUACCCCCCGCCCUCCCCUGAGCCAUCAGCUCCACGACUGGCCCUUGCUUUGGGCUGUCUUCUCUUGGGAGCUGGGAGGGUCCUAAAGAUGAGGAGAUGGGUCUGGUCUCAAAAGAGAUAUCGGCAGACACAAAUUCUUAAUGGCUUUGCUUUCUUGAGUAUGACGUGUUCUCAAGCCCCUCAAAGCCCGCAUGGCCUGCCCUCGAUCUGGCCCCUCCAACCGACACUCCCCAAGGCUUUCUGCCCUCGCAGCCCAGGUGGAAGUCCGGCUCUCCAAGCCUCACACUCUCCCAUGGCUGGGGGAUGUUGUUGGUCAGCUGUUAAGUGGAAAGGAGGACCGAGAGGAGGUCUGGGCUCAGCCCCUGGGACCAGGGCAGUGGCACUCAUACUCACUAACCUGAGAAGGUGCCCAUAGGGCAGGGCAGGGCCACCCCUGUGCCCACUGGACAGAAGUGACCUAGAGGGCAGGGCCCUCCCGCAGUCACAUGGAUGCCUUUAUUGGGAUGAGUGACCUCAGCUCUUGCCCAGAGAAUCAGAAGUGGCUGAGAUUGCAGAGCAGCCCUCCCUGGCCCCCAGUCAGGCUCUCGACCACCCCCAGCUCACACACCCCUGCAGUGGGACAUUUCCCAGAAUAAGGGAGCAGAGCUCGCGAGCUGGAGUGACAGUGCCCUCCACUGCCAGGGUGGCUCUCAAGCCCAGGGACGGCAGUGGGCCCUGAGAUGCGGCCCCUUCUGAAUUAAUUCUUGGCUAUCUGUGCCAGACCCUGCUUAGGAGCCCAAAGCUGGGGAGAAAGCAUGGGGGUUCCAGGACUUGCCCAUCCUGUGGAAAGGUGGGUGUGGUGCCUUCAGCCCCACUCUUGGUGUGGAGGGCACUGCAAGGCACUGAAGAGUUGGGGCUCCAGACCCCACUCAGGGAGCCUCCAGAUGAGUGUUCUAGAAACCUGCUUCCACUCCAGCUAAGCUUGUUUUCAUUUACAUAUUCAUUAUGUCAUCACUUAUGGUUUGCUCAAACCCUUUCUGAAUGAGAUGGACCUAAUUUAAUAAAAAUUACACUGACAAGUACUCUAAGGAGAAG
RNAcentral lists this long non-coding RNA (2637 nucleotides) under Homo sapiens (human). Its description in RNAcentral is "HSALNT0037600". The record is from RNAcentral. Lineage: Eukaryota; Metazoa; Chordata; Mammalia; Primates; Hominidae.